This 558-nucleotide ribosomal RNA is filed under the name uncultured bacterium. RNAcentral describes it as "bacterial SSU rRNA". It matches the Rfam family "Bacterial small subunit ribosomal RNA", at positions 396 to 949 of the family's 1533-position model. The record is from RNAcentral.
UGCGCGUGUGUGAAGAAGCCUCGGGUUGUAAAGCACUUCAGUAGGGAGGAAGCGUUGUGUGUUAAUAGUACUCAACGUUGACGUUACCUACAGAAGAAGCACCGGCUAACUCUGUGCCAGCAGCCGCGGUAAUACAGAGGGUGCAAGCGGUAAUCGGAAUUACUGGGCGUAAAGCGCACGUAGGCGGUUUUUUAAGUCAGAUGUGAAAGCCCCGGGCUCAACCUGGGAAUUGCAUUUGAAACUGGAAAACUAGAGUGUGUGAGAGGGGGGUAGAAUUCCAAGUGUAGCGGUGAAAUGCGUAGAGAUUUGGAGGAAUACCAGUGGCGAAGGCGGCCCCCUGGCACAACACUGACGCUCAGGUGCGAAAGCGUGGGGAGCAAACAGGAUUAGAUACCCUGGUAGUCCACGCCGUAAACGAUGUCUACUAGCUGUUCGUGACCUCGUGUCGUGAGUAGCGCAGCUAACGCAUUAAGUAGACCGCCUGGGGAGUACGGUCGCAAGAUUAAAACUCAAAUGAAUUGACGGGGGCCCGCACAAGCGGUGGAGCAUGUGGUUUAA